GGUUCGAAUCCCUGAAUUAUCUUUGUUGUCCCUAUUCUCUACUUUUCAAGUUUUUGUUCUUGUUUUGUAUGUUAUUGUGGAUAAUUUGUGUCAUAAAAGCGAGUUUGGUCGUUUAUUUUGGAUUAUUGUUGGCUAUUCCACAUGUUUGAAACAAAACUGAUUACAUUCUCAUGAUUUGUCCACUUUUGUUUUAUAAAUUUAUAUAAUUCCAUUUCAUCUGUUUUACUACACAAUUUUACAACUGUUAAUUCGUAAAUUACUAUGCUAGAAAAUCGUGAUGUUCUUCGAAUUAGAGGUCGGUCAUUUAAAGACGUAUCAGCCGUAUCAUAUACUUUGACGUAUCCGCAUCUGCAGAUAUACCAAAAAACAGUAUGUGAUCCCGAAAAUUUAAUUUUAUGUACUUUCAAUAAUGCAAAUGGGCGACUAAUUAAUUUCUAAUGCAGAAAUUUACAAAACAAUAAGGAAAUUUCGAGUUUUUAUGGAAUAUGUUACCCGACUUUAAAAGAUAUUACGGAUAGUUGGAACAGUUUACAGGCAUGAUAGGAGUGAAUACGGUAAAAUCGUUUGUUUGUGUAUGAACUUGUGCUCACGUAG
Molecule: long non-coding RNA, 594 nt
Filed under: Mytilus galloprovincialis (Mediterranean mussel)
Lineage: Eukaryota; Metazoa; Mollusca; Bivalvia; Mytilida; Mytilidae
Source: RNAcentral